Molecule: non-coding RNA, 6810 nt
Organism: Rattus norvegicus (Norway rat)
Lineage: Eukaryota; Metazoa; Chordata; Mammalia; Rodentia; Muridae
Source: RefSeq, a predicted model, not a curated record
AAACGCCCUUGCCCGUACCCUAGACAUAGUCAUUGCUUUGGUUCAACACCAAAGUGAGUUUGCUUUGCUUUGCUUUGUUUUGUUUUGUUUUGUUUUGUUUUUUCAAGACUGGGUCUCUGUGUAGCCUUGACUACCCUGGAACUCAACGCUGUUGACCAGGCUGACCUCGGAACUCAGGGAUCCGCCUACUGGAAUUAAAGGCGCGAGCCACCGCCUCCCGAUUCCUAAUGAGAUUUAUUUGCUUGCUUAUUUUUCAAAGCUCUCAGCUUUACCGAGGCACCACAAUGAAGAACGACCCCAGUAGCACAACCUCCCUUGGGCUCAGCAGUCCCAGCCUUUUCUGACCAUAACCUGGGGUCCAGUACAGGGGGCUUGUUUGAACACGUGACUGCCCGCUUGGCCUUGCACCCUACCAAACCUGGAUUUGCCUCCUGGGUCCUUGUGGGAACCUUAUGAUCAGCUGCAGUCCUGGCAUCACAGUGUCUGAGGGCUGUUGAGGAUGGAACUAUUCCUCAAUCAACCGGAGCACAUCCUCCAUUGCUUCGAAUUUUAAGAACGGGCAAGUAAACAGUUAUCCCUCCUUAAAAUUCCACAUUCCACAUACUGUAGAGAAAAGGCUAACAACUGAUUAGGCAGAGGAGAGGGAGGAGGCAGGAGUAUGUCUUCCAAAACAGGACAAAUGCGGGAUUUCCUUGCAAUUACCACCAGAAAGCAGCCUUGAAGAAGUUAAAGAAUAGGAUGCUGUCGUGAGCAUGUACCUGCUCUUGCGCUGGAGGAAGCUACCUAUUUAAGUAACUUGAACUGGUGGACAAGGAGCUAGAACUUCCUUCGCAUUUAAGGCAAAGGGACUUGAACACCUUUGGACUCUAGAAAGAGAAGGUCAGGUGCUGCCGACUGACCGCCCAAGGAAAAUGAGAGAAGCUUAAGCACCCAGAGACAGGCGGAUGGGCUGAGAAGCAGGACUUUGUCUCAGGCCCCAUCUUCCUUUUCCCAGCUCACAGCAAUGUGAUUCAAGUGAUGCAGUUUACCACUCAGUGUCCGCUUCCUCACUGUGCAAAGUUCCCAGAGCUCAGGGGGCUAGACCUGCCUCCUUCCUCACCAACCCCCAGAAUCUUCUUGCACAAAGUAGUUGCUUAAUAAAACCUCGAUGUGAUUAGUGACGGUGUGAAAUCACAGUAAUUUAAUUGCAUACCUUACAAAUGCCUUUUACCAAAUUACUCUCCCUGGCUGCGUGUCAGCAACACGGUGUGUGGAACUGUGAUCUGCUCUCUACAUGUACUCUCUCAGGAGGUGGAAAUAAAACUGUUUAAUUAGCACUUCUCUAGGUCAAAAAUGAAGCAAAUCUCAUUGGCUUCAAGGAUGGUCUUGAACUCCCAGUUCUCCUGCUUCUGAGAUUAUAGGCAUGUACCAUCGUCGUGAGAACACAUUUGGUUUCUUGUUGUUGGUCCUGGGGAUCAAACCCAGGAGCUUUCACAUGCUAGACAAGCACCCAAGCAUUGAGCUGCACCUCUAAUUUCGUGUGGUCCUGAUAAUGUGGUUCUGAGCCCAGGCAGGCAGCCCUUACUGGAUGGGCGUUCACUGCUCCACAAACGAUAUUUCUGUGAGUACUAGGCAGGUCCCCAUGCAUUUCUAGUCCAAUUUCCAACCCUGGAGGUUAAAGCACAUACCUUUUUCUCGACCCCAUCCAGAAAUGAUGCAUCUGUCAUUCGGUUGGAAUAGAUAUGGAGACCAUGGGACACAGGCAGGGACAGAAUUGAUGAGCUCACAUUCUUUCUUGCCCGGGUGUUUUUUCAUUUCAACCAAAGCUAUGUCAUUCUGGUAGGUGGCUCCGUUAUACUUUUCAUGAACGACAACUCUGCUCACUCCCUGAACUGCCAACUGAGAGUUAGGCUUUAGCCAGUCUAAUAAAGACGUCCAUACUUGGUAGUUGCGAUAUCUACUGGGUCUGUAAGAGAAAGGAAUGGGAAAUGAACUAUAUCAAGAAAAAGAUAUGGAUCUUAAUACUUCACCUUUACAGUCUUUCCUUUAAAGGAUAAAUUUCAGUUUUUUAAUCCUUGGUGAUAUUGUGAUGGUUUGUAUGUGCUCGGCCCAGGGAGUGGCACCGAUUAGAGGCCCUGUUGGAGUAGGCGGGUCGUUGUUGGAGUAGGUGUGUCACUGUGGGUGUGGGCUUUACUUACGACUCUCACCCUAGGUGCCUAGAAGCCAGUCUUCCACUAGCAGCCUUCAGAUGAAGAUGUAGAACUCUCAGCUCCUCCUGCACCAUGCCUGCCUGGCUGCUGCUGUGUUCCUGCCUUGAUGAUAAUGGACUGAACCUCUGAACUUCUCAGACAGUCGCGGUACAGUUCAACGGCCAUGUCCUAGGAGAUAAUGUGAUGUUUGGGUGCUUUUACUUCUACCUAAGCAUUCCAAGAAUGCUGCCAUCCAUGUUGACUUGGGUUGUACUAUAGGUGAAAGACCCCCUUCCGGAAAGGGAAUUGUACAAGUCUAAGGCCCACAACUAUAAAAGUAAAAAGUAAGUUUUUAGAUACACAGACUCAGAAUGAAAACAAGCCUGGGAAAGUCCAGAUGUGUCCAAGCUUUGUGGGACAAGCUGACCCAUCAUUUAGACAAAACAGACCAUAAAAAGAAAACAAAAUGCAGAGACCAGUUUAAAUUAUUGGUAUCGCUUCAUGGCCCACCUGGCAAGAGAAGAUAAGUCCCUGACUUCCCGGACACCCUGACCAGCAUGAACUCUUCUGUCAACUCAUUGGUAUGAUUAUAGCCAAAUUAGGUAACAUACACUUAUGCCUCAUUUAAUCCACCAAUCAAGUAUCUGUAACCAUACACUUGCUUCUAUAAGCCUGCUUCUGCUCUUCAGAAUCCUAUAAAAACCCAUCCCUAGCUAUGUUAGACGCGCCAGUCUUCCGAACUGACUGAGACGCCCACAGAUACCUGUGUAUCCCGAUCAAUAAACCCUCUUGCAGAUUGCAGCCUGUGAACUCGGACUGGUCAUUGGGCUUGAGGAUCUCCCUCCUGAGGGAAGAUUCUCUCUGAGGGUCUUUCAUAGGUUCAGGGAUCAUAUCUAUUCCUUGAAGGUUAACUCUGCUUAUAUGACUUAAUGAGGACAGAUAUAGUAUUCGCCAACUACAUGGACAGGCAUUGAACUGGGCACUGGGGAGCAGAAGUUAGCAAAAGGAGAAAGCACUUAGAAAACAUGCAUCACUGGGUAGGUGACUGCAGUGCUGAAGACAGACAUCCUGUGAGGAGUGAGGAGUGGGCAGGAGGAAGACUUUAAGAACUUAUCGGGAGGGCUUUGAUUAAAAGCAUUUGGGUUUGAGUCCACAGGAAAUAAAGGGUUGAGUUGAAUCUGAGUAAAAUGUAACAUUAACUAGGUAAGAGUCAAGAACGAUCAUGCCAGGCAGGGGAAAGGAUCCAUGAAGGUCCUUUGCAGAGGAAGCAAUUGCUUUUGAGCAUCUGAAGAAGCCCACAGUGGGUGCUUUCACUGGCAGGAAGUAAUGUGAGACUAGUGAGAGACAGGAAGGUCAGUCAUAAAGGCCUUAUGUGAUUUCUCUGUGUGGAUAGUUUUGUUUCGAUGCUUAUCUGAGGAGGACUGCAAGCUCUUGAAUUGUUUGUGCUACACAGUGGAGACCAGACUGGUCGGACCGUGGGUGGCAGGGUAGGCAACUGGAGGCAGUCAUGCAAUGCAGAUGACAAGGGCGGGGUAAUAGGAAAGGAGAUGAAAUUUGAAAAGCGAAUGGUGAAAAAAUUAAACAUUAUGAAUGCCUUGCUGUAGGGAGGCUCAGAGAGGGAAGUAAUGAUGAUUCUCAGAUUUCUACCUGUGUCAACCACAUAAAUGGUGUUUGCUAAGACGGGAAGAACUGGAACAGAACCACAUUUAAGAGAACUGGCCUAUAAGGUAGGUCUUAGACAUUUAGAACUGAGAUUCAUUCUCUCUCUCUCUCUCUCUCUCUCUCUCUCUCUCUCUCUCUCUCUGUGUGUGUGUGUGUGUGUGUGUGUGUGUGUGUGUAUGUGUGUGCUCAUGUUCAUUUGUGUUCAUGUCUGUGCGUGGGGUAAAUAUGUUUGCUGAUGCACACGCUUAUGUGUGUGCGUGCAUGUAAAGACCAGAGAUAAAUCUUGGAUUUUGUUCCUUAGGCACUGCCCACCUUGUGUGGAAGGAUCUUUCAUUGGUCUAGAACUCACCAAGUAGGCCAUCUGGCUGUCUGGCAAGCCCCAAGGAGCUCCCUCCCCAGUGCUUUAUAAGAGUUGUCUUGGUCAUGGUGUCUGUUCACAGCAGUAAAACCCUAACUAAGACCCGGUCAAAGGGUCUUAGUUACACUGUAUGAUUGGUCUUCAGCAGAUGUGUUUCCUCUGACUCUUCUGCAUUCAAAGUCUGUCAGAAACAGCCUGCUGUACUUCAGGGAUCUUCCCAAUAGCAACACGACUGUACCCCUACCUGAUACAAUGCCUUGCCUUCAAAGUGGCUUUGAGUUGGGCACAUGCCAAUAAUUUAUCCAGACACAAAGAGUGAGCCAGCCAAUGAUGGAUCAGUAUGUCAUAUGAUUAGCAUUGAGCAUUUACCGCCUAGAAUGUACAUUAAAUGGAAAGACCAGCGGGAAUGUCAGGUUAGUAUUAUUCCUUCAUAAAUGCUCAGUCAUAAACUCUUCCAGACAGAUUGUCCUAGCACAAUGCAAAUGGGACAAAUAGAAUGAGGCAGUAUUUAAACUCUGCCCUCAACAGAGCUUAACAACCUGGUCUAUCUAUGGAGAACACAGUGGGUUCUGAGGGACCUGAUCCAGUUCAUGAAUACUGGAAGCUAUUUGACAGUAGAGUAGAGCUUGGUUUCUCAUACAAGCUUUCGUCUACCACACUGUCUCUAUUAUUUAUUCCUCACGUUUCAAGAAAUGUAAGACACACAAAGGCAUUCUCACCUGACACAGUGUGCAGCUGUCAGAAUCCAACAGCCACCGAUAUAAAUGCCCCCACAGGUUAUUCUAUCUCCAUCCUUAAUCGCCACCUGCCAUGGGUAAUCUCCCUGUAAGAGACAUUUGAGUGAUCACUGCUCUACUACUGGAUGGUGGCAGCAACAGGCCACCCUGGGACAUUUCCACAUAAAGUCAUGGUCCCCUGAGAGCACACCAUCCCAUCACUGUUCUCUGAUGCAGACUGGCCCUUGGAGGUCAUGUGAUUUUCAUGCAGGCUUACCAUCUCGGCUGGCUUCCCUCCGACCACUCUUUUCCUGCGAAUGUGAGUAUUUCUUUUGACUCCACAGGAUAGUUUAGGUAAUAAGGACUUUAUCCGUUUUCUUUCUUCAAGAAAGGAAGAGAUCGUAUCAUUAUUUUCUUGGAACCAUUAGCUUGUGGGUAGACACUUCUUGGUUCUAUCUAUAAUACAUCUGUCUGUCCGUUCAUCUGUCCAUUCAUCUCUCCAUCUAUCUUGGUGUGUGUGUGUGUGUGUGUGUGUGUGUGUGUGUGUGUGUGUGUGUGUGCGUGUUACAGGUGUACACAUAUAUGUCUAUUUAAGACCAGAGGUCAAUCAUCAGACCUUCCUCAGUCCCUUUCCAUCACACUUUUUGAGAUAGUCUCUCACUAAACAUGGGACUCACUAACUGGCUAGGUUGGCUGGCAGUGAGCUCCAGUGAUCUGUUCCCCUCCUUUACCUCAGCCCCGGCAUUAUAGACACCACCACCACCGGGCUUUUUACAUGGGUGCUGGGAUCUGAACUCAGGUCCUCCAGCUUGUAAAUGAUUAUACAUGUCACACAUGCAUACAUGUUAUAUAGUAUGUGCCAGAGCAGGCCACAUUCAUCAGCAAGUAGUUUCAGAGAUUAAACGAUACCGUUUACUUAUUGGGAAAUUCUGGCUCAGCACUAAAAUUGACUUGAUUUUCGAAAGUUCUGACUAAAAGUGGACUUGGGUAGGAAGCUGGCCGAAAGGUUAAACAUUUACCAACCUCUAGUAGAUGCCACAUGGCAGGCAUUACUACAGUGAGAACUCAGGGUGGGGUAUGUGGCACAUUUCGAACACAUCAGAAUAAUUAUUACUAUAAGUAAUAAUGUGUCAGCAUAUAACAUAUAUAUUAAUCCUGAGAGGUCAUGUACCAGAGACCCGGGAUGAUUGGAUCAGCAGGCCUCUAGAUGAGUGUGUGUGUGUGUGUGUGUGUAUGUGUGUGUGUGUGUGUGUGGUGUAUUUGUCAAUAAGAAACCAGCCAUGUAGAGUAAGGCUCAAAGCCUGAAGCUCAAGGGAAUGUACAAGACAAGAGGAUGGGGGUGUAGGAUGCUUUCUUUAUUCUCUCUUUAGAUUUGCCUUGUCUGGAAAAGGUCAAGAGAUCCAGAAUCUUCUUGCACAAAGUAUAUUAUCAAAGGUGGUAAAAUUAAAUAGUCAAUAAAAGCAGUUUAGCCAAGAUCAAAAGCCAGCCUUGCUUCCUGUAAUAAAUUCCUACCUUCUCAUAGACUCACGUCUAACUCAGUUUGGCUCUUGGUGCACAACUGCCCAGGAUACAGAGCUCCGGGGCUCCAUAUUACCAUGAUUUAUAACUGACAAAGGACAGGUCCAUUCGACCAAGUACAUUCCUUUCCAUUUCAGAAGAUGCUUGAAAUCUACUUAUCGUUGACAAACUAAACUGCCUUGUCUGGUGGGAAAAGCUUCAUGUGGAACUAUGGAAAUGAGUCACUUCACAAUCGGUCAUUUUAAUUAACCUGGUUUUAAAAUCGACCCUCAAGAAUAAUAGGGCCUUGCUUUUUUUUUUUUUUUUUUUUCCCUUCGGAGCUGGGGACCGAACCCAGGGCCUUGGGCUUGCUAGGCAAGCGCUCUACCACUGAGCUAAAUCCCCAACC